Molecule: ribosomal RNA, 552 nt
Filed under: uncultured bacterium
Lineage: Bacteria
Description: bacterial SSU rRNA
Rfam family: Bacterial small subunit ribosomal RNA
Source: RNAcentral
UGGGGAAUAUUGGACAAUGGGCGAAAGCCUGAUCCAGCCAUGCCGCGUGUGUGAAGAAGGCCUUUUGGUUGUAAAGCACUUUAAGUGGGGAGGAAAAGCUUAUGGUUAAUACCCAUAAGCCCUGACGUUACCCACAGAAUAAGCACCGGCUAACUCUGUGCCAGCAGCCGCGGUAAUACAGAGGGUGCAAGCGUUAAUCGGAAUUACUGGGCGUAAAGCGCGCGUAGGUGGUUAUUUAAGUCAGAUGUGAAAGCCCCGGGCUUAACCUGGGAACUGCAUCUGAUACUGGAUAACUAGAGUAGGUGAGAGGGGAGUAGAAUUCCAGGUGUAGCGGUGAAAUGCGUAGAGAUCUGGAGGAAUACCGAUGGCGAAGGCAGCUCCCUGGCAUCAUACUGACACUGAGGUGCGAAAGCGUGGGUAGCAAACAGGAUUAGAUACCCUGGUAGUCCACGCCGUAAACGAUGUCUACCAGUCGUUGGGUCUUUUAAAGACUUUAGUGACGCAGUUAACGCAAUAAGUAGACCCGCCUGGGGAGUACGGCCGCAAGGUUAA